Molecule: ribosomal RNA, 117 nt
Filed under: Streptomyces canus
Lineage: Bacteria; Bacillati; Actinomycetota; Actinomycetes; Kitasatosporales; Streptomycetaceae
Source: RNAcentral
UUCGGUGGUCAUAGCGUGAGGGAAACGCCCGGUUACAUUCCGAACCCGGAUGCUAAGCCUUACAGCGCCGAUGGUACUGCAGGGGGGACCCUGUGGGAGAGUAGGACACCGCCGAAC